CCUGGAGUGGGGCCUGGGCUUGGGGGAGCCACGGUGCGGGCCCUGGCCGAGGCGGACGGAGAGGGUAGGGAGCGGUGAGGCGUCGAUGGCGGCCGCACUCUGGCCUGCUCUGCUGCUGCGUCAGGCGGGAAACUCGGCUGCCACCGCUGCUUCAGGUUCAGGUUUCCGGCCUGCCGCAGUCGGACGACCCUUCCGCCCUUCCUUCCGUCUUGGGAAGCCGGGCCGCUGCGCGUCGGGGCCUCUUCUGCGGCCAAGGCCGCACCCCAGGCCGCAGCCUUAAAGCAGAGGAGGCCCAGGCCCGUGCGCCCUUGGGACUGAGGCCCUGAGACUUGAAGGGUCGUGGAAUGCGGGAAGGAGGGUCGAUUUGGCGGGAACUUACUGGAAGGUGGCUGUGGUGGGGAAAAGACCCUAGUGCAGAUGGGGAGCGGGGGGGUUGGGUAUUUAUGCAGGCCAUGUGCUGGGGUAGUGGGCCUGGCGGGCCAUGUGCCAAGUGUUCUGAUGGGCUUAGAAAAGGGUCAUUGAAGACGCGCUUGCGGUUAGAGUGAGGGGAUACCCUGCCAGAAGGUCUGAGAAUGUUUGAAAUUCUUACUCUCUAUACUUGAUAGCUUCCCGAUCCUUGAAUUUUUAUCGUCGUUCAAAGGCUAAAUUACUUGUCUUACAUGGCAAUUCGAAAAGAGGCAGCUAGGUUUCGCUUUCCAUGAAUCAACGAAACACACAUCAUUUCUUGGAUUCAUUAAACGAAUAUAAUUUAAUCUAAAAACGAGACGUGAAAGUUAAUGAGCCAGCCCCCAUCUAGAUAUUCCAAAUGUGAAAACCUAUUUUAGAACGACAUAAUUGCCCACAUUUGGGUUUGGGUGUUGAUUUUAUUAUGGGUAAGCAUUAUGCUUGUUGCCACAUGUUAACCACAUGGCCCCAGUCACAGGGCACUUCCAAAGGAAGUGACUGCAUCUGGUAUUGGGGAGCUUACUUAGAAAAAGAAAAUAUUGCUCAGUAGUCAUUUGUGACUUGGGAUAGUGUGUUUCAGUCAUUCAGAAAGACAGAAAGUGUAAGAAGAAUCUGGAUUGCUUUUUUCUUUUAAGGUAAACAGGGAUUAAUUUACAUCCUCCUCAUACAAGUUUUUUUUAAAAAGGCUUUCCUUCUUUCCUGUCGUUUGACUCAGUUUUUGAGAGAAACAUAACCAGUUAAUUUCUGCAUGGAAGAGUUACCUUAAGAUAGCAACUUUGUUACUCUGUUGCUCAAGCGCUGAUUGCAUAUAAGGUUUUGAGGGUUUUUAAAAGAUGCAGGAGAUGAAAUUCCCACCUCUUAGGCUUUUUUUCCCCCUCUGCAAAGCAGUCAUUUUCAAAUACUUCCUUAAAAAUUGCUCUGAUCAUGGCUUAAUCACACCUGCAAAUGCCACGUACUUAGGUGUGUACUCUGUUUAGGUUGUUGAGCCUGAUUCUUGUCUACAAGGAGCUCUCUUGCACUGGAAUAUAAAAGGAAUCAUUUAUUAGAGUCCCAAGGGCUGAAUUAAGGACUUGAAAGUUUCUCCAAAUUGCAACUCUUGGCAGUGUUGUUGUUGUUUUUUUUUUUUAAAGCUAUCCGUAUGUUUGUGUACUUAUCUGCAUAUGUCACAUUAGAAAACUUGGAUGAGUCUUAGCAACCCAAAGGUCCACACUUUCAUGUUUGAUAAUGAGAGGUAAUGAUUUCAAACAAAUGUGGAGUCUCUAAAAUAUGUUGAGCCAAAUCAAUGGAAGAUCAAAGGGCAUUUAUUACACUAGCAUUUGAACAACUGGAACAGGCAGAGUGAUGUCUUCUUUACGGUAUUAUAAGUGGGUUUUUGAAUGGUUAUAUGUUUGGAUUAUUUUUACUGUUCUUUUUAAAUCUAAUAAAAAUACCUGGUACCUACAUCCUACAUGGGAAGUUACCAAAUUGGUGCUUAAAAGCAAUGGAACCACAGUUUGACUAAUUGGAACGAUUGGUCUGUUGGCUAAGCACUUGACCACAAGAGAGAUUUUGCUUUUUUUUUUUUUUUUUUUUUUUUUUUGCAGGAGUGAGAGUUUUAAAAAAUUGUUGGCUUCUUUCCUCUUCCUAGCCUCCUGACAGUAAGUGGAGAGGAGAGCCAGAAGACUGAUGCCAAGGCAUCCUGGCCUGCUAUGUGGAGAAUGCUCUUUCCUUACUGUCUCACUUAAUAGAACUCCUAUUCUGGCAGUAUCAGAUGCUGCUGCAGUAAGGGCAUGCUAUUGAGAAUUCCAGUAAACUGUGCACCAUUUUUAUGUUGUAAAAAACUGCUGGAAUAAUAAAGUGAGAGCUUGUGGCAACCAAAAUGCAAGUUGUAAGUAGAAUCUAUUAAUCAGUAGUAUGAGAAUGUAAUACAGUGAUCACCUGGAGUGGCUCCAUAAUUACAAAUGAGGGUAUUAACUAGGGAAAUCAGGUGGUCAGUCUUUGGAUCUGGGAGUUUGACUAAAGUUCUUUUUGUUUGUUUCAAAUUUUCAUUAAUGUAUAUAGUGCAAAAUGCCAUAUUAAAGAGGGGAAUGUGGAGGACUAAAAGCUGA
This is a long non-coding RNA of Herpailurus yagouaroundi (jaguarundi), 2531 nucleotides long. RefSeq lists it as uncharacterized. The record is from RefSeq and is a predicted model, not a curated record. The transcript is spliced from 2 exons. Lineage: Eukaryota; Metazoa; Chordata; Mammalia; Carnivora; Felidae.